RNAcentral lists this ribosomal RNA (451 nucleotides) under Pseudoramibacter alactolyticus. Its description in RNAcentral is "bacterial SSU rRNA". It matches the Rfam family "Bacterial small subunit ribosomal RNA", at positions 28 to 479 of the family's 1533-position model. Lineage: Bacteria; Bacillati; Bacillota; Clostridia; Eubacteriales; Eubacteriaceae. The record is from RNAcentral.
GACGAACGCUGGCGGUAUGCUUAACACAUGCAAGUCGAACGAGAAGUUUUUUAUUGAACCUUCGGGGGAUAUAAGAGACAGACAGUGGCGAACGGGUGAGUAACGCGUGGGCAACCUACCUAUCGGAGCGGGAUAGCCUCGAGAAAUCGGGAGUAAAACCGCAUAACACGGAUAUAUCGCAUGAUGAAUCCGUCAAAACUCCGGUGCCGAUAGAUGGGCCCGCGUCUGAUUAGCUAGUUGGUAAGGUAAGGGCUUACCAAGGCAACGAUCAGUAGCCGGUCUGAGAGGGCGAACGGCCACACUGGAACUGAGACACGGUCCAGACUCCUACGGGAGGCAGCAGUGGGGAAUAUUGCGCAAUGGGGGCAACCCUGACGCAGCAAUACCGCGUGAGUGAAGAAGGUUUUCGGAUCGUAAAGCUCUGUUAUUGGGGAAGAAGCAGGACGGUACC